Molecule: ribosomal RNA, 682 nt
Filed under: uncultured bacterium
Lineage: Bacteria
Description: bacterial SSU rRNA
Rfam family: Bacterial small subunit ribosomal RNA
Source: RNAcentral
AAGGCGCAAGCCGCUUCUUGAUGGGUCUGCGGCCUAUCAGCUAGUUGGUGAGGUAAAGGCUCACCAAGGCGACGACGGGUAGCUGGUCUGAGAGGACGAUCAGCCACACUGGAACUGAGACACGGUCCAGACACCUACGGGUGGCAGCAGUCGAGAAUCUUUCACAAUGGGCGAAAGCCUGAUGGAGCGACGCCGCGUGGAGGUUAAGGUCUUCGGAUUGUAAACUCCUGUCAUGCGAGAACAAAGCCCUUACGGGUGUGAUAGUAUCGCAAGAGGAAGAGACGGCUAACUCUGUGCCAGCAGCCGCGGUAAUACAGAGGUCUCAAGCGUUGUUCGGAAUUACUGGGCGUAAAGGGUGCGCAGGCUGCGUUGAAAGUCAGAUGUGCAAUUCAGGGGCUCACCCUCUGGACUGCAUCCGAUACUACAACGCUAGAGUCAUGGAGGGGGAUCUGGAAUUCUCGGUGUAGCAGUGAAAUGCGUAGAUAUCGAGAGGAACACCAACGGCGAAGGCAAGAUCCUGGACAUGUACUGACGCUCAUGCACGAAGGCUUGGGUAGCAAACGGGAUUAGAUACCCCGGUAGUCCAAGCAGUAAACGGUGCACGCUUGGUAUGGGAGGCAACACCUUCCGUGCCGUAGCUAACGCGAUAAGCGUGCCGCCUGGGUAGUACGAUCGCAAGAUU